GAUGAACGCUGGCGGCGUGCCUAAUACAUGCAAGUCGAGCGAACGGACGAGAAGCUUGCUUCUCUGAUGUUAGCGGCGGACGGGUGAGUAACACGUGGAUAACCUACCUAUAAGACUGGGAUAACUUCGGGAAACCGGAGCUAAUACCGGAUAAUAUUUUGAACCGCAUGGUUCAAAAGUGAAAGACGGUCUUGCUGUCACUUAUAGAUGGAUCCGCGCUGCAUUAGCUAGUUGGUAAGGUAACGGCUUACCAAGGCAACGAUGCAUAGCCGACCUGAGAGGGGGAGGGGCACAAUGGAAACGGAGCCAGGGCGAGGCCUCCACGGGGGGGCGCAGGAGGGGAUUUUCCCGAAAUGGGCGAAAGCGGAAGGGGGAAACGCGGGGUGAGUGAUAAAGGUGUCGGAAUCGAAAAACUGUUUUAUUAGGAAAAAAAAUAUGUGAAAGAAACUGUGCACAUCUUGAGGGUACCUAAUAAGAAGGCCCCGGCAAGCUAGGGG
RNAcentral lists this ribosomal RNA (497 nucleotides) under uncultured bacterium. RNAcentral's name for it is "partial 16S ribosomal RNA". It matches the Rfam family "Bacterial small subunit ribosomal RNA", at positions 28 to 507 of the family's 1533-position model. The record is from RNAcentral.